Molecule: ribosomal RNA, 558 nt
Filed under: Triticum aestivum (bread wheat)
Lineage: Eukaryota; Viridiplantae; Streptophyta; Magnoliopsida; Poales; Poaceae
Description: partial small subunit ribosomal RNA
Source: RNAcentral
AUGCAUGAGUACCCCUUCAAUAUUGUGGACCACGAGUACUUGGUGGACUUUAUCCAUUCUUUGCGUCCAACUUUUCCAAUUAAAAGUCGCCCUGCUGUGAAGAAAGACAUAGUCAACAUAUUUAAAGAGGAAAAGAAGAAAUUGUAUGAGUACUUAAAAAUAGUGCAGUGCCGAUUUAGUGCCACCAUGGACAUGUGGACAUCUGGACAAACCAAAGGAUACAUGUGCAUCACUGUUCAUUGGAUAGAUGAAAAUUGGUGCAUGCAAAAGAGGAUUAUCAAGUUUAAUCAUGUACAGGGAAACCAUUCAGGAAAAAAUCUUGGCUUACACUUUUAUGAUUGCAUAGUGGAUUGGAAUCUUGACAGGAAAUUGCUUUCAGUCAGUUUGGACAAUGCUUCAGCCAAUGAUAAGUGUGUUGAGGGGCUAGUAACCAAAUUCAGUAAGAAUAGUCUAAUCUUUGAUGGCAUAUUUUUUUCAUGUAAGAUGUUUCAAUCACAUCCUAAACCUACUCGUUCAAGAUGGUUUGAAGACAAUUGCAACAUCUAUUGCAAAUAUUAG